UUUUUUUUUCGCGGAUUUUGGUAUACUAAGACUGUGAAUGGUGACAUAGACCGCACCCAAAAUCGCACCGCAACAGUGCUGUAACAGUAUCAAAAUCUCUACAUAUAUAUAUAUAUAUAUGUAUCUGUUAUAACCAGAGAAAGAGAUAGAAGAAAUGAGUGUGUUUUCCAUUGAGAAAAUGGUUCUAUAGGAGUAUAAGGAAAAGGUAAAACCCUACAAACAUCUAGAUGAUGGGCUUAGAUGAUGGGUCUUAUAAUGGGCAUCCAUCUUUAUUCAUAACACUCCCCCUUGAUGACCAUUAUAGUACCAUAACUCGUAAAGUAUUUGAAAUGCUGCCUCAUUAAAAACCUUACCAGGAAAACCUAAUGGGAAAAACCUUGGUUAAGGGAAAAAGAGUGCAACAUACAAUUACUCCCCCUUAUGAGUAUAUUCGUCGAGAUCUUUGAGACGGCGUAAUCCGAUACGAUAGACUAACUUCUUGAAAGUAGCAGUAGGUAGCGCCUUGGUGAAUAAGUCAGCCAGAUUAUCAUUCGAACGGAUCUGUAGAACUCGUACAUCGCCGCUCUUUUGUAGAUCGUGUGUGUAGAAGAAUUUUGGUAGGAUGUGCUUUGUUCUAUCGCCUUUGAUGUAUCCGUCUUUGAGUUGUGCGAUGCAUGCUGCAUUGUCUUCGUACAUAAUUGUUGGAGUUUUUUUCCCUGCAUACAUACCACAGUCUUCUUGUAUAUGGUGAACUAUGGAUCUUAGCCAUACACACUCGCGGCUAGCUUCAUGAAUUAGUAAAAUCUCUGCAUGAUUAGAAGAUGUGGCAGAGAAUAAACAGUAUUUGAGAAUAAGUCUGCCAAAUCUUCUCUUGAACAAAUUUCUAAUAAAGUACAACGCCAUUCUUCUGCUCAUGAAUCUUUUAGAUGAUUCAUCUUAACCAUCUUAUUUAUUUCUCUAAAUAUCAUUAGUGUAUAAUAUUCAUUUGGAUGAUUGAUAGAAUUUCUUAAUAUUCAUCAAGUGUAUUAUUUGCGUGUUCUUUAAUGUCUCGUUAAAAAUCUUGUCAUAGAAAAAUCAUGUGGGAUAAAAACUAUGAUAAGGAAAAAGGGUACAUCCACGCAUAUCAUUCAAUCUCCCCCUCGGAAACAUCUUCUUCAGGAGAUGAUUUUCAAUCAAAUACAAUAUCUCGUUGAAAUUAAUAACCAUAAUCUUAAUGAUCAAAAUUAUAUGGUUUUCAUAUAGACUUAUAAAUAUCAUUAUCUACUGAUAUUUUAUCAUAGAUUAUUGUCAUCGUAUUACUUAUAUAACUCUGUACGAGUUUUAAUGAUUUUCAAAACAAAUAUUAGUUUGAUCAAUAUAUUUUGACAAACUCAACAUAAAUAUACAUUU
RNAcentral lists this small RNA (1368 nucleotides) under Arabidopsis thaliana (thale cress). RNAcentral describes it as "ATSL176240". Lineage: Eukaryota; Viridiplantae; Streptophyta; Magnoliopsida; Brassicales; Brassicaceae. The record is from RNAcentral.